AUACGUAGGGGGCAAGCGUUGUCCGGAUUCACUGGGUGUAAAGGGCGCGUAGGCGGGCUAGCAAGUCAGAGGUGAAAUCUCCCGGCUUAACCGGGAAACUGCCUUUGAAACUGUUAGUCUUGAGUGCGGAAGAGAGAGACGGAAUUCCAGGUGUAGCGGUGAAAUGCGUAGAUAUCUGGAGGAACACCAGUCGCGAAGGCGGUCUCUUGGUCCGUAACUGACGCUCAGGCGCGAAAGCGUGGGUAGCAAACAGGAUUAGAUACCCUGGUAGUCCACGCUGUAAACGAUGAAUACUAGGUGUUGGGUCGAAAGGCUCAGUGCCGCAGCUAACGCAUUAAGUAUUCCACCUGGGGAGUACGAUCGCAAGGUUGAA
Molecule: ribosomal RNA, 373 nt
Filed under: uncultured bacterium
Lineage: Bacteria
Description: bacterial SSU rRNA
Rfam family: Bacterial small subunit ribosomal RNA
Source: RNAcentral